This is a long non-coding RNA of Panicum virgatum (switchgrass), 502 nucleotides long. RefSeq lists it as uncharacterized. Lineage: Eukaryota; Viridiplantae; Streptophyta; Magnoliopsida; Poales; Poaceae. The record is from RefSeq and is a predicted model, not a curated record. The transcript is spliced from 4 exons.
AGCUGUGGCCACACGCCAGUAUGACUGGACGCGAAAGCAGCUCAGUUUUGGAGCUGGCUGGAUACUUGCUGGUCUGUAAGGUGUAAGCUGACCCAUGGAAGCACGCAUUGGUUUAUUGAACAAUUAUAUAGUUACUCUGUGACCUUUUACGGUUCCUGUUGCUUAUGUGCUUGCAGUGCAGUGCAGUUGGGCACAGAACGCGACACAUCGAUAUUGCUGGUUUAGUUAAGACUCUAAGUUGCUGCUGGACAUGCUAGAAAUUGAGGUUCUGUUUGUGCAUGGUGUUUAUUGCAGAGAAUACGGAGGUAGGGUGGUGUAUCUCGUAGAUAUUCAAAAAUUGUGUCCUAUUACGGGCUCACAACUCCGCCAUAUAAAGUGGAUGCUCUGGAACCUUAUAUGAGCAGGAGAACAGUUGCACUUCAUUGGGGUAAACACCAUCGGGAUUAUGUGGAGGGCUUAAAUAAGCAGCUUGCUAGCAGCCCCCUGUAUGGAUACACUCUGG